Long non-coding RNA from Mauremys mutica (yellowpond turtle), 781 nucleotides. RefSeq lists it as uncharacterized. The record is from RefSeq and is a predicted model, not a curated record. NCBI's taxonomy places the organism in Eukaryota, Metazoa, Chordata, Testudines, Geoemydidae. The transcript has 3 exons.
ACUUGGUCCAUGAGAAGGAGUCACUGCCCUUUCCCUGUCAGUACAGAGGAGGGAUACGUGUGCCUGGCCACUACUGGCAGGGGCGGCUCUAGAUAUUUUGCCGCCCCAAGCACAGAGGGUCUGCUAGUCUGCUUGGAGCGCUGGUGCCUGGAGCCACCCCUGACUACUGGGAUGUGUUCAACCCCUAUAUCGGGCAAACUGCUCUCUUAUCUCAGCGGUGUGGGCAGAGCUUAAUUCGUAAUGAAAGAGGCUACCAAACAGCCUUCAGAAGCAACUUUCGUCCUUGGCUGGCAAGGGGCGGAUUUGAACCACUGACUUAACAGAAGGCUCCGCGGUCUGAACUGUCAUGCCCCUGGCAGGUUGCACCUGUUGCAAGCAGCGGUGCUGGAGUCCACCAUAGCUUCCCUUGAAACUUGCCGCAGAUACAGACAGGAUCUCAACUGGGCUGCGAGCACGCUGGAGCCAGCCCAGUCAGAGAGAAUGGGGCUCGAGGAGCGUAGCCGCAAGCUGUCUUGGAAGCGGUUGGCUUUUCCUGGAGAGAUCCCCAGCUGCGCUUCCAGGCUGUAAAUUAAACAAACCGUAUUUCCUAUGUAGCAGACCCCGGGGGCGGUGGAACGAACAGCAUGGCCUUACUGCUGUUAUUUCCUCUGAGUUAAAUCCCACCCCCUUCAGACUGAUGGUGCCCACUUUACCUGAUUUGUAAUUUAUUAAAAUGAUUUAAGGCGAGACGGGGCGGAAAUGCUCAGUGCAAAUGAUAUUUUGAGCUGUUGUGCUUUGCCAA